Molecule: ribosomal RNA, 741 nt
Filed under: uncultured eukaryote
Lineage: Eukaryota
Description: bacterial SSU rRNA
Rfam family: Bacterial small subunit ribosomal RNA
Source: RNAcentral
GCGCGGUAUCGGGGGAUGCAAGCGUUAUCCGGAAUCAUUGGGCGUAAAGCGUCUGUAGGUUGUUUCAUAAGUCUGUUGUUAAAGACUAGGGCUCAACCCUAGAAAAGCAAUGGAAACUACUAGACUUGAGUAUGGCAGGGGUAGAGGGAAUUUCUAGUGUAGCGGUGAAAUGCGUAGAUAUUAGAAAGAACACCAGCGGCGAAAGCGCUCUACUGGACCAUUACUGACACUCAGAGACGAAAGCUAGGGUAGCAAAAGGGAUUAGAUACCCCUGUAGUCCUAGCCGUAAACGAUGGAUACUAGAUGUUGUGUUUAAUAUGCAGUAUCGUAGCUAACGCGUUAAGUAUCCCGCCUGGGGAGUACGCUCGCAAGGGUGAAACUCAAAGGAAUUGACGGGGGCCCGCACAAGCGGUGGAGCAUGUGGUUUAAUUCGAUGCAACGCGAAGAACCUUACCAGGACUUGACAUACUACAAAUUUCUUUGAAAAAAGGAAGUGCCUUCGGGAAUGUAGAUACAGGUGGUGCAUGGCUGUCGUCAGCUCGUGUCGUGAGAUGUUGGGUUAAGUCCCGCAACGAGCGCAACCCUUAUUUUGAGUUAGCUUUUCUAAGAAUACUGCCGGUAACAAACCGGAGGAAGGUGAGGAUGACGUCAAGUCAGCAUGCCCCUAAUGUCCUGGGCUACACCGCGUGCUACAAUUGGGUAAGAACAAUAAGCUUGAAUCUCGUAGAGAGUAGAUAAUCU